Molecule: ribosomal RNA, 254 nt
Filed under: uncultured bacterium
Lineage: Bacteria
Description: partial 16S ribosomal RNA
Rfam family: Bacterial small subunit ribosomal RNA
Source: RNAcentral
UACGUAGGGUGCAAGCGUUGUCCGGAUUCAUUGGGCGUAAAGAGCUCGUAGGCGGCUGUUCAAGUCGAAACGUGAAAACUCGGAGCUCAACUCCGAGCCUGCGUUCGAGACUGGAUGGCUAGAGUCUGGUAGGGGGAUCUGGAAUUCCUGGUGUAGCGGUGGAAUGCGCAGAUAUCAGGAGGAACACCGGUGGCGAAGGCGGGUCUCUGGGCCGAUAUUGACGCUGAGGAGCGAAAGCGUGGGGAGCGAACAGG